This 253-nucleotide ribosomal RNA is filed under the name uncultured bacterium. RNAcentral describes it as "partial 16S ribosomal RNA". It matches the Rfam family "Bacterial small subunit ribosomal RNA", at positions 524 to 776 of the family's 1533-position model. The record is from RNAcentral.
GACGGAGGGUGCAAGCGUUGUUCGGAUUGACUGGGCGUAAAGGGCGUGUAGGCGGUUGGUCAAGUCCGAUGUGAAAGCCCGGGGCUCAGCUUCGGAAGUGCAUCGGAAACUAGCCAGCUGGAGCGCGAUAGAGGAGGGCGGAAUUCCUGGUGUAGCGGUGAAAUGCGUAGAUAUCAGGAGGAACACCGAUGGCGAAGGCAGGUCUCUGGGCAUUAACUGACGCUGAGGAGCGAAAGCAUGGGGAGCGAACAGG